Molecule: ribosomal RNA, 231 nt
Filed under: uncultured bacterium
Lineage: Bacteria
Description: partial 16S ribosomal RNA
Rfam family: Bacterial small subunit ribosomal RNA
Source: RNAcentral
UGAGUAACACGUAUGCAAUCCACCUGUAACAGGGGGAGUAACCCGGAGAAAUCCGGACUAAUACCCAUAAUAUGGGCGCUCCGCAUGGAGAGUCCAUUAAAGAGAGCAAUCUUGGUUACAGACGAGCAUGCGCUCCAUUAGCCAGUUGGCGGGGUAACGGCCCACCAAAGCGACGAUGGAUAGGGGUUCUGAGAGGAAGGUCCCCCACAUUGGAACUGAGACACGGUCCAA